AUCUGGGCGGCGGAAUUCAGGAUGGCGAGCGUGUCUUCGCGGCGCGUUCGUCGUUUGAUAUUUCCGUCGCCGAUCACACUCAGACGUCGCGACCUGUUCGCGGUCGGUCCCUGCUUCGGAGGAGCCGCGUUCGAGUUCGUUGUGGGCGCGCUUCGGCGCGUUUCACGGCGAAGGCGCGGAUCUCUGGCUGGCCGUCGGACAGUACGUUCAACGGUGUCCGGUGUCGUCGUAUUCGUACGCGCGCGCACCGGUACCGGUCAGCGACGAAUUCUUCGGGCCUCUUUCCGACCCGUCUUGAAACACGGACCAAGGAGUCUAACAUGCGCGCGAGUCGCGGGGUGUCGAGCGUACUUCGGUGCGUUCGUUACGUUGCGAAACCCGUACAUGUCGAAGGCGUAAUGAAAGUGAAUGGGGAAGAUGGUGUUCCGAGUACACGUUCCACGAUCGUUGGCAUCGCGGCCGGACACCCGCAUUCCCGGGGCGUCUCAACGGCCCGUCGCGGAUGUGGACCGUCGUCUCUCGGGGCGGCUGUCAGUCUGCGACGAACCGA
RNAcentral lists this ribosomal RNA (550 nucleotides) under Pseudaonidia corbetti. RNAcentral describes it as "eukaryotic LSU rRNA". The record is from RNAcentral. Lineage: Eukaryota; Metazoa; Arthropoda; Insecta; Hemiptera; Diaspididae.